Molecule: ribosomal RNA, 170 nt
Filed under: uncultured bacterium
Lineage: Bacteria
Description: partial 16S ribosomal RNA
Rfam family: Bacterial small subunit ribosomal RNA
Source: RNAcentral
CCUACGGGAGGCAGCAGUUAGGAAUCUUGCGCAAUGGACGAAAGUCUGACGCAGCGACGCCGCGUGCAGGAUGAAGGCCCUCGGGUUGUAAACCGCUUUCAGCAGGGACGAAAUUGACGGUACCUGCAGAAGAAGCCCCGGCCAACUACGUGCCAGCAGCCGCGGUAAUA